CAGAGUAAGGCGCCUCCGGGCGCCCACUCCAACCCUUUGUGUACCUGUAGUCGUUGCCUCGGCGGGCCGGUGAUUUAUUCGCCGCCGGCUCACGCCGGAGAGUGCCCGCCAGAGGACCUAUAAACUCCAGUUAUUAUGACGUCCGAGUCUCAUACAAAUAUAUCA
RNAcentral lists this unclassified non-coding RNA (165 nucleotides) under uncultured Ascomycota. Its description in RNAcentral is "sequence contains ITS1". The record is from RNAcentral. Lineage: Eukaryota; Fungi; Ascomycota.